AGAGUUUGAUCCUGGCUCAGAGUGAACGCUGGCGGCGUAGAUUAGGCAUGCAAGUCGAGCGAUCCGCCAUGUUUUGUGGCGGAUAGCGGCAGACUGGUGCGUAACGCGUGAGUAAUUUACCUCCAAGUCGGGGAUAGCCUUACGAAAGUAAGGGUAAUACCCGAUGUGUUCCCCGCUACAAAAGUAGCGGGGAGUAAAGGUGGCUCGCAAGAGCUACUGCUUAGAGAUGAGCUCGCGUCCUAUCAGCUAGUUGGUUGAGGUAAUGGCUCACCAAGGCUGUUGACGGGUAGCUGGCCUGAGAGGGUGGUCAGCCACACGGGGACUGAGACACUGCCCCGACUCCUACGGGAGGCUGCAGUCGAGAAUAUUUAGCAAUGGGCGAAAGCCUGACUAUGUGACGCCGCGUGAGGGAUGAAGGUUUUCGGAUCGUAAACCUCUUUCGAUGGGGAAGAAAUCCUGCUAUGAAAGUAGUAGGUUGACGGUACCCAGAGAAGAAGCCACGGCUAACUCCGUGCCAGCAGCCGCGGUAAUACGGAGGUGGCGAGCGUUACUCGGAUUCAUUGGGUGUAAAGGGCAGGUAGGCGGCUAUGUAAGUUGGAGGUGAAAUCCUUUGGCUCAACCAAAGAACUGCCUUCAAAACUACAUAGCUUGAGGCUAGAAGAGGAGAGCGGAAUUCCCGGUGUAAGGGUGAAAUCUGUAGAUAUCGGGAGGAACACCAGUAGCGAAAGCGACUCUCUAGUCUGGUCCUGACGCUGAGCUGCGAAAGCUAGGGGAGCAAACAGGAUUAGAUACCCUGGUAGUCC
This 803-nucleotide ribosomal RNA is filed under the name uncultured bacterium. RNAcentral describes it as "bacterial SSU rRNA". It matches the Rfam family "Bacterial small subunit ribosomal RNA", at positions 8 to 796 of the family's 1533-position model. The record is from RNAcentral.